AUGUCAAUUGGCGACAUGUAUGCCGCCCCAUCGAGUGUGGAGGUCUUGGGGUGCAUGACCUGGAGCGCACCGGGCUCGCGCUCCGGCUGCGCUGGCAAUGGUUUGCUCGCGUGGACACGGAUCGCGCCUGGCAGGGACUUGACCUUCAAUUCUCACAUGAGGAGCGCGCCCUCUUCUUUGCAUCCACGACCAUGA
Molecule: ribosomal RNA, 195 nt
Filed under: Triticum aestivum (bread wheat)
Lineage: Eukaryota; Viridiplantae; Streptophyta; Magnoliopsida; Poales; Poaceae
Description: partial small subunit ribosomal RNA
Source: RNAcentral